UUAGAACGUCUCAGCCGAGAAGGGCUUUCCAGACAUGUGCUCCCUCCUUCCCUUAAUACCCCUUUGCUGCUGGUAGGGAAACUGGGGAAAGAAGCCCCUUCCUCAAGAGUCAGGGGCGGGAUGCGAGAGGAACCCAGGCCUCCUGCCCCUCCUCUCCUCUCUGCUCCCAUAAUGGGGUAGAGCUCACCCAAUCCAGCUGGAGGAAAGCUCCAGACAAAUUCAAGAGGCCCCCACAGCUACACGGUCCUGGUCCCUCCAGUAAUGGAUGGAAAAUCAGCGAUUUCCUGACAGUUAGCAACCAAUUUUCCACCAAUUAGAAGAGAGAUGGUGGUCUCUGGAGGCAGCUGGAUGGCGGCGUUGCACGGAACUGGAAGGAAGAGAGAUGAUCCUCAGAAGCACCAGGCAUGGAGCUCGGCCCCGUGAGGACCACCACGCUACAUCUUUGGAUGGGAGUUCGCUGGCCCUCCCCCUCCUCACCCCAGCCCCCGAGGGAAGCGCUGCAGUCCUCUCCUCUCCAGGCUGGUCUCUCAUCCCUCCACCACCACCAACCUCC
This is a long non-coding RNA of Neogale vison (American mink), 553 nucleotides long. RefSeq lists it as uncharacterized. The transcript is spliced from 3 exons. Lineage: Eukaryota; Metazoa; Chordata; Mammalia; Carnivora; Mustelidae. The record is from RefSeq and is a predicted model, not a curated record.